Molecule: ribosomal RNA, 400 nt
Filed under: uncultured bacterium
Lineage: Bacteria
Description: bacterial SSU rRNA
Rfam family: Bacterial small subunit ribosomal RNA
Source: RNAcentral
UGGGGGACGAGGAAGGACGGUACCCUAGGAAUAAGUCACGGCUAACUACGUGCCAGCAGCCGCGGUAAAACGUAGGUGGCGAGCGUUAUCCGGAUUUACUGGGCGUAAAGCGCGCGUAGGUGGUUGAGUAAGUUGGGUGUAAAAUCUCUUGGCUUAACUGGGAGGAGACGCUCAAGACUGCUCGGCUUGAGGUCGAGAGAGGGGUGCAGAAUUCCCGGUGUAGUGGUGGAAUGCGUAGAUAUCGGGAGGAAUACCAGUGGCGAAAGCGGCGCCCUGGCUCGCACCUGACACUGAGGCGCGAAAGCGUGGGGAGCGAACGGGAUUAGAUACCCCGGUAGUCCACGCUGUAAACGAUGUGAACUGGGUGUUGGCGGUAUGAAUUCCGUCGGUGCCGUAGCAA